GGCUGGACUCCGUCCGGCGGUCUCGCUCUCUCCGUGGAUGUGGAACCGUUCCAAUGGGCACUUAGAAUGGAAAUGAUGAAGCACAACCUUUGCUCGGUGGAGGAGAUGAUGGUAUUGCGAAAUGUUUUCGCAAGCGAGCAGCGAAACCAUCGUCCGGGGCAGCCAGAACGAGAUGGAGCAACGCGCCCGGAGGCCUGGAACAUGCGAUGAGGAUCAAGGUCAAGGGAGAUGGAGCUAUCGGAUGGAACCUUUUUCACAUUUUGCUGCUUAUUCGAGCCAAGCCAAGAAAGGACGAAGAAGGAAACCAGCUGCUGAUGGGAUGCCGGUUCGGUGCGGUUAGCACUCGAUGAGUGACUGAUGUAUAUUUGUGUGAGAGUGCGAAACGCGAAACGCGAUUGGGUUCCCGAGGGAAUCCAGAGGAGCUGCGGUAGGCAGAUAUCUCCACGGAAACUGAUGACCGAAAAAGCUGCCCAAUCAUUCCUAACACAAACGGCGAGCAAACGCUGUCCUUGCACAUCAAAACAACAACAACAAAAGAAGCCACAACACAUCAAAGUAGGCCGAUUUCGACCAUUCCUGGUGACCCAUGGAAACCCAACGCUUCCAGGACGCAGGACUUACAGCAAUCCGUUGCCAGGUGAGGGCUCACCCCAAAAGCACAACAGCAAAGUUGCAAUAUUAAAGCAAACUUCUUCGCUUCCAACCCCGCCGCACCCGUGAGUCGGAUCGAAAGCAGGAAAAAACAAAACAUGGCAACGCUGCACGGCACAAAGCCAAGCCACCCACGGAAGCCAACUAUUUCCCCGUCCUUCGGCGGUCGGUUGGUCAUUCGAUUCAUGUUUUGGCUAGUUGAAAACUGAAAUAUAGCCGUGCUGAACGAAUAAAUCGCAUCCACACGCCACCAAAGUCCUUGCACUUGGUUUUCUUUUAUUAUUUCCCGAAAGCGGCACGUUUUCCUACGAAGGACACACCACGUUGCAACGAACUUGGUUUUACCCUACAUUCUAGUGGUUUAUUGUAUGUGUUUGUGUAUUGCUGUGUGAGUCGAAAGGAGUGAGAAGGUAGCCGGGAAAAAUCGAUUGAACUUGAGCUUGAAAAUUUUCCGCUUACCAACAAAGCAGCAGCAGCAGCAAACUCAAGUUGAGUUCCCUUGAUGGAACGAACAAACAAACAAACAAACCAACAUCAAUGCACUCGAAAAAAAAGUACUUCACUCAUACCACCGCACAGAACAAGCACAGUGAGUACCUUGGGCUUUGAGCCUUGAACUUCCUCCGCCGAUUCGAGGAUGCCAUACAAGAUGAUUCCAUCCUUCCAAGGGAGCCGGUCAGUCGCCAUUCCCGGACAGGAACGAAACUGUAUGAUUUCUAAAAUAUCGAAUAAUGCUUCCUUCCUCUGGUCGUUUGCUAGGCAAGAGAACAAUUGUCUUGGACUGAGAAAAUCGAUAGAUACCGGUGGAGACGCGUGGUUUUCCGUUCGGGAUGAAUUCCCGUCAAGGAAACUCGGACGCUUCCAUUCCGGGAUGGUUGAUGGUGUUGUUAUGAACGUAAAUUGUUGAUGUAAUCUGAACAAGUGCCAACAUUUUAUGGAACGUAGAAUAGAAUGGAUUGCCUAAUAUAGGAGGUUUAAUUUUCAUGAUGACUACAUUUUAAAUUGUUUAAAUUCUCCCGCUCUGAGAGGCAACUUCCAAACAUUCACGAAACUGGGUACUGUUUCCCAACCAGGCACGCAAUGUUCCGAAACGGGACAUUAGCGAGACAAAAAUAUUUUCGCUAUUAAAUAUUGUUUUUUUUUGGUGGUUGGUGUCUCCGCAAAAGGCGUUUGUAUUCAACUGGCGCAACUUUUUUCCAGAAUUAUCGUUCAACAAAAUAUAUCCAAAUGUUUUGAAUGAUAAAAACCAUCAUUCGAAAACCCAUUUUGUAAUUUUUUCGUGGAAA
Malaya genurostris is the source of this 1937-nucleotide long non-coding RNA. RefSeq lists it as uncharacterized. The record is from RefSeq and is a predicted model, not a curated record. Lineage: Eukaryota; Metazoa; Arthropoda; Insecta; Diptera; Culicidae. The transcript is spliced from 3 exons.